RNAcentral lists this ribosomal RNA (254 nucleotides) under uncultured bacterium. RNAcentral's name for it is "partial 16S ribosomal RNA". It matches the Rfam family "Bacterial small subunit ribosomal RNA", at positions 524 to 776 of the family's 1533-position model. The record is from RNAcentral.
UACGGGGGGAGCAAGCGUUGUUCGGAUUUACUGGGCGUAAAGGGCGCGUAGGCGGUCAGCACAAGUCAGUUGUGAAAUCUCCGGGCUUAACUCGGAAAGGUCAACUGAUACUGUGCGACUAGAGUGCAGAAGGGGCAACUGGAAUUCUCGGUGUAGCGGUGAAAUGCGUAGAUAUCGAGAGGAACACCUGCGGCGAAAGCGGGUUGCUGGGCUGACACUGACGCUGAUGCGCGAAAGCCAGGGGAGCGAACGGG